Vicia faba (fava bean) is the source of this 213-nucleotide non-coding RNA. Lineage: Eukaryota; Viridiplantae; Streptophyta; Magnoliopsida; Fabales; Fabaceae. The record is from the annotation of a GenBank genome assembly.
AUGGCCAGGCGAGUCGUGAAUCGGGACGAGUCGACAUUGACUCGAAUUGUUGAUUCGGUGUUCGCCUUUGUGAGACACGCUGAGUUUGAGAUCCUCUUGUUUCUUUUCUUCUUCAUCGCUUACAUUCUCUUCAAAGAUAUCACAUCAAGACCGGAAUACAAUCAAAUGUUUGUGAAGAAGCCUGGCGGUGGACCAGAACUUUGGCCCUUUUAA